This is a long non-coding RNA of Trachymyrmex septentrionalis, 1019 nucleotides long. RefSeq lists it as uncharacterized. Lineage: Eukaryota; Metazoa; Arthropoda; Insecta; Hymenoptera; Formicidae. The transcript is spliced from 4 exons. The record is from RefSeq and is a predicted model, not a curated record.
UGUAGAAAAUGGGAAAAUGCGUUUGUUUUUAAUUGCCGAAAUGGGCUGGAAUGCACCAAAAAAAUAGGAAUUAAGAAUAAAAGUCUUUUUAAAGCACCUAAACCUUUUUAAAGAUAAAAAUUUGUUGGAUCGUUGGACUGUAAAUUUAGAUCAGUUGAAGGAGCCACUUACUGAACAUUGUUUUGUUUGUGAGGAACAUUUUAGCAUUGAAGAUUUUUCAUUCAAACGAUAUUUUACUGACAAGGAGAGGCUACGCUCUGCUCUUCAUCAAUUUUGAUCAAACUUGCAGCAAUGUUAGAGAAGCCCGCUGCAAGUUCGAUCAAAAUCAAUGAAGAGCAGAGCGUAGCCUCUUCUUGUAAGUGAUGGUACAGUACAUCAUACUGAAAGAAUAGUACCAAAAUUAAUAAGAAAAUGCUAUUCCGAUAGUUGCCGAGAAUUAUUCAGAAAGGAAGGAAUGAUCAAUGCUGAACAUGAAUCUUUUGCAGCAGAUACAGCAAAUUUGACCGGUGACGAUUGUGAUGAUAUAUGAAGAUAUCAACCAUACUCCUAAAAAAUUAAACUUUAAAAUGUUAGUGUCAACAUGUUCAAACAUAUCGCUUCUAAGUUGUUCAUGGGGUGCAUCGAAAGUAAAAAUGGAAAAUUUGUCACAUUUUUAACAAUUGAUAAAAAUGAAGUGUUACGACGUCUUCAAAUUUAUUAUGAUCUAAGUGUGCAAGUGCUUCUGGACGAUAUUCCGAUUAGGAUAAAAUGUGUGCUGAGUUCUGUAGAAUUACAGAAAGAUAUUGUCAACAUACUUCAUCUCAUUCAUGAUAUGAAAGUAUGCGAGAAUUUCAAAGAUGCGAAAAGGAUAAAGUAGCGAUGUAAUGGGUAUCUAUAAAAGAACAAUUUAGCUAUAUUAUGCAAGAAAUGUACUAAUAAAAAUAGAAACAAGAUUAAGGAAUUUAAAUUACUGGAGACAAAAAUAAAUAAAAUAACAAGAUCAAAGAAAUUGUUAAUGCGCCAAAAUAAACGUCUAAAAA